Long non-coding RNA from Dermacentor silvarum, 496 nucleotides. RefSeq lists it as uncharacterized. The transcript is spliced from 3 exons. NCBI's taxonomy places the organism in Eukaryota, Metazoa, Arthropoda, Arachnida, Ixodida, Ixodidae. The record is from RefSeq and is a predicted model, not a curated record.
UAUUCUGAAGCUAUGUUUGCUUUCAGCGAGACUCAUCAAUGCGUCCCUUAAUUACUCUGCUGAUCGUUGUGAAGAUUUUUACUCGUACGCCUGUGGAGGGUGGCUAACUGAACACGAUAUACCAGAGGACGAUCUAGCGUUUGGUGUUUAUGAGAAGUUGGAACAAGAUAUGCAGAAAACAAUAGAAGACUUGCUUGGAAACUUGAGCAGCGCUGGGUGUAAAGAAAACAUUGUGGGCAAUCUAGAAGCCAUGUACAAAAAGUGUUUGGAUAAGAUUGAUAUUCCUGGCGAUUUCGCCAAUGUUCUAAAGGCAUCUGGAUUUAAUAACUGGCCAAUCAACAGUACCAGAAAUGGCGAUUGUGGAUGGACUCUUCCGGAUUUCUUUAACCAUUCUGGAAUUAAUGCACUGUUUGAUAUGGCGGUAAUUACAGACCGUAGAAACGCCUCGAACUUCAUCAUUAGGGUAAUUGGAAAUUUUGUUUUAUCCGUGCUGACC